RNAcentral lists this long non-coding RNA (2066 nucleotides) under Mus musculus (house mouse). RNAcentral describes it as "long non-coding RNA chr7:89980754-89982820". Lineage: Eukaryota; Metazoa; Chordata; Mammalia; Rodentia; Muridae. The record is from RNAcentral.
UGCUUCCCGUCCCUUGGUCCGGGCGGGCGGUUUUCCCGCCGCCCUCUCGACACUUUGCACCGAGGCGUCGGAUCUGCUGGCUCAGAGGGCAGGGGUUUCCUACGUCCCCCUUCCCCACCAGCGCCUAGAGACGAGGCGGAACUCAAAGGGCUGCUCCCUCACCCCCUUCCUGGCCAAGACGUUUCAUCCGCAAUUGGCUCAAUCCUUCGAUCUCCGACCCGCUGCAAACGAACGAAAGUCUGUGGCCUGGAUCGGCCCACCACUGCUCCCGAGGGAGGGGGGAGGAAAGAGAAGUCACCUCUUGUUUUAGGGGGUCUGUGUCUACGGUCCCUGAUGCGGAGCUCGGGAGAACAACUUCGAGUUAGUGUUUACGGAACUUCUCACAGCCUAGAUUCUUUUUUUGAAGGGAGAGAUUCAAAAUCUAUAGGCUGUUCCCUGCUCGCCUCCCCCAUCGGGCACAUGGACGGGUCCCACCUGCAGGUGCGCAUGCGCUGAGGCGUAUUCUCGCGCUGGGUUACGGAGACGACAGGCCGCCUCCUGGCCCCUCCUCCCCUCGGUUCUGUCUGCUGAACCAGGUAGUCUUUCCACCGGUUUCUGAAGCUUCGGGGAGGAUUUCAAAACGGUACCAAAUCAGUGCCUACGGACACGCCUCCGUUCUGGGCAGAUAUUUUAUCUAAUAAAUACUUAUUACAAUGAUUGGUUAUAUUCAACCGGUUGGUGCCACUAUUGGCUUAAGUAAGCCUGUAUUUUAAAUUACAUAUUUAGACUUAAGUAAAAAUACCUUGUGAUGCAUGAUACAUUCUAGUAAUCCAACAUCGGAAGGGCAACAACGGAAGUACUGCCUGCUCGCCUCAAUCUUUAGAUCAUCCUGGUCGACAUAGCAAGUUCCGAGCCAAUCAAGGCUAUUUACUAAAAACCUGUUUGAAAAAAAAUUUUUUUAAUUGUAUGGAUCGGACAGAGUAUGGGGGCAUGCCUUUUAUUCCAGCACUAGGGUGUCAGAGGCAGGUCGAUUGCAGUGUGUUAGAGCUACACACUGGUUUGGUCUACACGAGGAGUUCCAGGACAGCCUGGGCUUCGUUAUAGACCCUCUUUCCAAAAAUAAAUAAAUAAAAAUUACAUGGUUCUGAAUUGUCAUAAUUCAUAGUCUUAAGUGUUCGUUUUAGCUGUUGAAAGCUGAGGCUCUAGGAAACUGACAAGACCUAUAAGUCACUGUGAGCAACUGCAUGAGUUUGUGAGACUUAGGUAAAAGGCAAUUUUUUAAUAUAGGGAAAGGUAACUAAAUUUGCCCGUAUCAUUAAAAACUCUUUAAUUUUUCAUUUUUAGAUUAAAAAAAAUGUGUGUAUGAGUGUGUGUAUGUCUGUGCCCCACAUGUCUGUACUGGUACACAAAGUCAGAGGAUGUUGGAUCCCUGGGACUGGAGUCACUAACGUUUGCGAGCCAGCCUGUAGCCAGUCUGUAGCCAGCCUGUAGCCAGCCUGUAGCCAGCCUUAACCACUGAGCCAGCUCACUUGUCCCCUCAGGUACAAUCUUGACAGACAAAUAAUAAAUUUGUGAGCCUUGUGGAUUUGGUGGGUGUAUUGUUAAGCCAUGGGAAUGUCUGAAUGAAGAACUUCCUCUCCUCAAUUAUAGGACAGAAUUGUUUCUAUAUUGUCAUUUGUCAUUUGUGAAAUGAAGAGGUAGAAAUUAUAGGACAGAAUUGUUUCUAUAUUGUCAUUUGUCAUUUGUGAAAUGAAGAGGUAGAAACAGACAAGACAUUUGCUGGGCACCCACUUAAUAAUAAAAAGUAUUUUCCUUUCGCCCUCCAGUGUCUUAGUCUUUCAGAGGAAGUUUAUGUAAGCUAAAUGAGACAAUUUAGGUGAAAAAGUUUAAAUGUUUAUCUUUUCUGGAAAAGUUGCUGGGAGAUAAAACUUUGAAAUUUGAAACAAAGGUUUACUUUGCUUUACAAUUAUUAAUUUUAUGAUUAAGAUUUUAAAUCAACUUUUUAUUGAUUCUUUGUGAAUUUUACACCAUGCACUCCAGUCCCAUUCAUCUUUGUAUCUGCCCUCCACCCUUGCAACCUCCUCCCC